Molecule: ribosomal RNA, 195 nt
Filed under: uncultured Enterobacterales bacterium
Lineage: Bacteria; Pseudomonadati; Pseudomonadota; Gammaproteobacteria; Enterobacterales
Description: partial 16S ribosomal RNA
Rfam family: Bacterial small subunit ribosomal RNA
Source: RNAcentral
GGGGGAGUAACUACUGGAAACGGUAGCUAAUACCGCAUAACGUCGCAAGACCAAAGUGGGGGACCUUCGGGCCUCAUGCCAUCAGAUGUGCCCAGAUGGGAUUAGCUAGUAGGUGGGGUAAUGGCUCACCUAGGCGACGAUCCCUAGCUGGUCUGAGAGGAUGACCAGCCACACUGGAACUGAGACACGGUCCAG